Lolium perenne is the source of this 873-nucleotide non-coding RNA. The record is from RefSeq and is a predicted model, not a curated record. Lineage: Eukaryota; Viridiplantae; Streptophyta; Magnoliopsida; Poales; Poaceae.
CUCUUGCAGAUCCCAGCAAGGAGAGUGCUUUUAUAAUGAAACUGGAGGAGCUCACUCUGUCUAUUGUCAAUGAGCCGGGCUGGAUGGGCAUGCUUGCAUGGGAAGGGAAGGGCUGGCCUACCAGUGAGUGACUGUGAGCUCAGUAAAGGUUGAAUCAUGGUAGUUUUGUGAAGAACAGUGGCAGAAACUGAACGGCUGAUCAUGGUGUUUUUACCCCUCCAUGGGGUGGUUAAUACAGGACUGGAUGAUCUGGAUAUGUACCUAACUCUGAAAACAAGUUGCUGCUGCACCUGGUUUCCAGCAUUUUUGUCACUGCUCCAAAAUUCUGAAUCCGGUCCAGGUUCGGAUGUGGAUUGACGUGGAAUUUUGGACACGCGGUGCUUCUUCUCAAAAUGGUACAAAAACUCGGAUGCCUAUGUGGCGAGCAGCGAGUGGCCGGCGAGAUUCCCGUGGGGCCCUGUCACGUGGCAGCGGAUAAGGAGUGCCGAUCCGUCUCUCUGGUACGGUUGGUGGAGAGCUUCAGCUCGAUGUCGCAUGCGUUUAUUUCACUCCGGCCAGUUGGUUGUCGUGCUGUCUCGUCGGAACCGGAAGGGCUAACGGCCGAUGGUUUCGCCGGAAUUGACCGGAUGCAUCGAAGUAAACUCUUCUUUUUCUUCCUACAGAGAGAGAAAGCAGCGUCUUUGGACUGAGGCUAGAGCCUGAAUUUUUUUUUUGAAAAUGGCAAGGAAGUAUCAAAAAAAUGGUAUUUCUAGAUCUUUGGAAGUAUCAAAAAAAUGGUAUCAUAGAUGGGCUUUGAGAUUUCGGCUGCCUACAUGGGUUGUAGCCCAUCUGAGACGCAUUUGUUACUAUUUAAUAUAACCGCACUUGAGUACA